GCCGUUGCUAUGGUAAUCCUGUUUAGUGCGAGAGGAACCGCGGGUUCAGACAUUUGGCAUAUGUGCCUGGCCGAAAGGCCAAUGGUGCGAAGCUACCAUCUGAGGGAUUAGGAUUGAACGCCCCUAAGUCUGAAUCCCGUCCAGAUAUACAACGGU
Molecule: non-coding RNA, 156 nt
Filed under: Echinostoma caproni
Lineage: Eukaryota; Metazoa; Platyhelminthes; Trematoda; Plagiorchiida; Echinostomatidae
Description: Eukaryotic large subunit ribosomal RNA
Rfam family: Eukaryotic large subunit ribosomal RNA
Source: Rfam by way of RNAcentral